GACGAACGCUGGCGGCGUGCUUAACACAUGCAAGUCGAACGAAGAGCGAUGGAAGCUUGCUUCUCUCAAUCUUAGUGGCGAACGGGUGAGUAACGCGUAAUCAACCUGCCCUUCAGAGGGGGACAACAGUUGGAAACGACUGCUAAUACCGCAUACGAUCUAAUCUCGGCAUCGAGGAUAGAUGAAAGGUGGCCUCUACAUGUAAGCUAUCACUGAAGGAGGGGAUUGCGUCUGAUUAGCUAGUUGGAGGGGUAACGGCCCACAAAGGCGAUGGUCAGUAGCGGGGCGAGGAGGAUGACACGCCACGUUGGGAAGGAGACCGGGCCCGAACUCCUAGGGGGGGCAGCAGGGGGGAUUUGUACGAAAGGGAGGAAGGGUGGACGGCGCACCGCCGGGUGAGUGAUGACGGCCUUGGGUGUAUAAAGCUCGUUUAAGGGGGAAGAAAGCCCUUCUUGCGAAUAGUGAGAAGGAUUGACGGUACCGAAAAAAAAAGCCACGGCUAACUACGUG
RNAcentral lists this ribosomal RNA (510 nucleotides) under uncultured bacterium. RNAcentral's name for it is "partial 16S ribosomal RNA". It matches the Rfam family "Bacterial small subunit ribosomal RNA", at positions 28 to 507 of the family's 1533-position model. The record is from RNAcentral.